This 460-nucleotide ribosomal RNA is filed under the name uncultured bacterium. RNAcentral's name for it is "partial 16S ribosomal RNA". It matches the Rfam family "Bacterial small subunit ribosomal RNA", at positions 338 to 795 of the family's 1533-position model. The record is from RNAcentral.
CCUACGGGAGGCUGCAGUGAGGAAUAUUGGUCAAUGGACGAGAGUCUGAACCAGCCAAGUAGCGUGAAGGAUGACUGCCCUAUGGGUUGUAAACUUCUUUUAUAUGGGAAUAAAACGUUCCACGUGUGGGAUUUUGUAUGUACCAUAUGAGUAAGGAUCGGCUAACUCCGUGCCAGCAGCCGCGGUGAUACGGAGGAUCCGAGCGUUAUCCGGAUUUAUUGGGUUUAAAGGGAGCGUAGGUGGAUUGUUAAGUCAGUUGUGAAAGUUUGCGGCUCAACCGUAAAAUUGCAGUUGAAACUGGCAGUCUUGAGUACAGUAGAGGUGGGCGGAAUUCGUGGUGUAGCGGUGAAAUGCUUAGAUAUCACGAAGAACUCCGAUUGCGAAGGCAGUUCACUGGACUGCAACUGACACUGAGGCUCGAAAGUGUGGGUAUCAAACAGGAUUAGAUACCCCAGUAGUC